UCUGACCUCAAAUCAGGUAGGAUUACCCGCUGAACUUAAGCAUAUCAAUAAGCGGAGGAAAAGAAACUAACAAGGAUUCCCUUAGUAACUGCGAGUGAAGUGGGAAAAGCUCAAAUUUAAAAUCUGGCAGUCUGAUUUUUUAUCUUUGGCUGUCCGAGUUGUAAUCUAGAGAAGUGCUACCUGUACUG
RNAcentral lists this ribosomal RNA (188 nucleotides) under Amanita sp. 'penetratrix'. RNAcentral describes it as "partial 28S ribosomal RNA". It matches the Rfam family "Eukaryotic large subunit ribosomal RNA", at positions 1 to 172 of the family's 3401-position model. The record is from RNAcentral. Lineage: Eukaryota; Fungi; Basidiomycota; Agaricomycetes; Agaricales; Amanitaceae.